RNAcentral lists this transfer RNA (69 nucleotides) under Marmota marmota marmota (Alpine marmot). It matches the Rfam family "tRNA". Rfam says of the family: Transfer RNA (tRNA) molecules are approximately 80 nucleotides in length. Their secondary structure includes four short double-helical elements and three loops (D, anti-codon, and T loops). RNAcentral also lists the same sequence under 1 other name. Lineage: Eukaryota; Metazoa; Chordata; Mammalia; Rodentia; Sciuridae. The record is from Rfam by way of RNAcentral.
GGAGUUGUGGCUCAGUGGCAGAGCACUCACCUAGCAUGUGUGAGGCCCUGGGUUCAAUCCUCAGCACCA